GCGUUCAUAGCUCAACUGGAUAGAGCGACAGACUUCGGAUCUGUAGGUUAUGGGUUCGAUUCCUAUCGGGCGCACCA
RNAcentral lists this transfer RNA (77 nucleotides) under Campylobacter jejuni. RNAcentral describes it as "tRNA-Arg". It matches the Rfam family "tRNA". Rfam says of the family: Transfer RNA (tRNA) molecules are approximately 80 nucleotides in length. Their secondary structure includes four short double-helical elements and three loops (D, anti-codon, and T loops). The record is from RNAcentral. Lineage: Bacteria; Pseudomonadati; Campylobacterota; Epsilonproteobacteria; Campylobacterales; Campylobacteraceae.